Molecule: small nucleolar RNA, 107 nt
Organism: Cephalotus follicularis
Lineage: Eukaryota; Viridiplantae; Streptophyta; Magnoliopsida; Oxalidales; Cephalotaceae
Rfam family: Plant small nucleolar RNA R71
About the family: R71 is a member of the C/D box family of snoRNAs containing the C (UGAUGA) and D (CUGA) box motifs. Multiple nearly identical copies of this snoRNA have been identified in Arabidopsis, and it is thought to function as a 2'-O-ribose methylation guide for 18S ribosomal RNA.
Source: Rfam
AAACCAUGAUGAGGACAUUCUAAGAGAAGGUCUUUAAAACGUUCCAUACAUCGAGACAAUGUAUCAUUAGGUCGCUGGCGAAACUGGAGAAUGUUGUUCCUAAGCUU